ACCAUACUUGACCCCCUGGUCUAGUGACUUUGGAGCCAUUCUUCCCAUCUACUCGACCCCCAGGUCGAGUAACCUCAUCUCAGGCCACUCGAUGACGCCACUCG
This 104-nucleotide small RNA is filed under the name Arabidopsis thaliana (thale cress). RNAcentral describes it as "ATSL039930". The record is from RNAcentral. Lineage: Eukaryota; Viridiplantae; Streptophyta; Magnoliopsida; Brassicales; Brassicaceae.